RNAcentral lists this small RNA (28 nucleotides) under Bombyx mori (domestic silkworm). RNAcentral describes it as "ovarian small RNA-31181". The record is from RNAcentral. Lineage: Eukaryota; Metazoa; Arthropoda; Insecta; Lepidoptera; Bombycidae.
UGAAUGGCUGCUGUCUCCCAGAAUGUAA